UGGGGAAUUUUGGACAAUGGGGGAAACCCUGAUCCAGCCAUCCCGCGUGUGCGAUGAAGGCCUUCGGGUUGUAAAGCACUUUUGGCAGGAAAGAAACGUCGCGGGUUAAUACCCCGCGGAACUGACGGUACCUGCAGAAUAAGCACCGGCUAACUACGUGCCAGCAGCCGCGGUAAUACGUAGGGUGCAAGCGUUAAUCGGAAUUACUGGGCGUAAAGCGUGCGCAGGCGGUUCGGAAAGAAAGAUGUGAAAUCCCAGAGCUUAACUUUGGAACUGCAUUUUUAACUACCGGGCUAGAGUGUGUCAGAGGGAGGUGGAAUUCCGCGUGUAGCAGUGAAAUGCGUAGAUAUGCGGAGGAACACCGAUGGCGAAGGCAGCCUCCUGGGAUAACACUGACGCUCAUGCACGAAAGCGUGGGGAGCAAACAGGAUUAGAUACCCUGGUAGUCCACGCCCUAAACGAUGUCAACUAGCUGUUGGGGUCUUCGGACCUUGGUAGCGCAGCUAACGCGUGAAGUUGACCGCCUGGGGAGUACGGUCGCAAGAUUAAAACUCAAAGGAAUUGGACUGGGGUCGAUAGCUGUUU
This 585-nucleotide ribosomal RNA is filed under the name uncultured bacterium. RNAcentral's name for it is "partial 16S ribosomal RNA". It matches the Rfam family "Bacterial small subunit ribosomal RNA", at positions 355 to 935 of the family's 1533-position model. The record is from RNAcentral.